RNAcentral lists this ribosomal RNA (429 nucleotides) under Bacteroidota bacterium. RNAcentral describes it as "Bacteroidetes bacterium partial 16S ribosomal RNA". It matches the Rfam family "Bacterial small subunit ribosomal RNA", at positions 355 to 776 of the family's 1533-position model. Lineage: Bacteria; Pseudomonadati; Bacteroidota. The record is from RNAcentral.
UAGGGAAUCUUCCGCAAUGGACGCAAGUCUGACGGAGCAACGCCGCGUGAGUGAAGAAGGAUUUCGGUUCGUAAAACUCUGUUGUUAGAGAAGAACAGCGCAUAGAGUAACUGUUAUGCGUGUGACGGUAUCUAACCAGAAAGCCACGGCUAACUACGUGCCAGCAGCCGCGGUAAUACGUAGGUGGCAAGCGAUGUCCGGAUUUAUUGGGCGUAAAGCGAGCGCAGGCGGUCAAUUAAGUCUGAUGUCAAAGACCCCGGCUCAACCGGGGAGCGUCAUUGGAAACUGGUUGACUUGAGUGCAGAAGAGGAGAGUGUAAUUCCAUGUGUAGCGGUAAAAUGCGUAGAUAUAUGGAGGAACACCAGUGGCGAAGGCGACUCUCUGGUCUGUACCUGACGCUGCGGCUCGAAAGCGUGGGUAUCAAACAGG